AAUCUAUUGUACUGCUGCCAAUUGUAGGAACGGCUUUGGACCAGGAAACGUAAUGUUUAGUUAUCCGAAGGACCCGGUUUUGCGUCAAAUAUGGAACCGUUUGUCAACAACUUUUAAAUUAAAGAAAGAAAAAGUUUUUUGUUUAAAUUGUGAUCUGAAUCCCAGGUCAUGGAAAACCAGAAGCGUGCUAAGUGGACAUGCGUUGUUUUCAUAUGUCCCUUUCAGGCCUCCAUAUCCGUGUUUCUGAUGAAUUCCAAAGAUGGCUGUAUGACGGCUGGGCGCGGUCAGAGUUGACCAACAGCCCAACUACUACCUCUUGAUGCUUCACUACUUCACAUCCUUCAUCCUGAUGAGCUUCAUUCUGCUGGAUAUGUUCAACAGGGUGAUGGUAGACACCUUUUACAAAUGUCAGCGAGAGCAGAGACAAUCCAAAGAAACUGAGAGUGACCCGGACAGUGACUAUUUCCUCAACUAUUCCUGGCUUGCUGCUGAUGGAUGCAGAGCACUAUGAACAGUCCAAGUCUGUGCGACAGUUUUUAGACUUGGACUUCUACAUCAUCACCCUCGUGCUGGUCCUUCAAGUCGUGCUGAAGAACAUCACCUUUGGCUUAGUGAGGUUCCUGAAAGUCGGAUGGAACGUUCUGGACAUAUUUAUUGUCCUGAUUUCUAUCAUGAGCAUAGUUUUAACUCAGCUCAAACUCUCCAACAACAUCCCAUCAAAUCCAGCACCACCCGUGUGAUGAGAGUCCUCAGACUUUCACAGGGUAAAAAACGCACUCUGAAGGGAAAUGUCUGUCGUUAGAAAGGAACCACAAGUCGACCCAGCUGUUCAGUUCAGAUGAAGUUUCUGAUUAAAACCAUCAUCAGGACCUUGUCCCAGAGAUGUGGAAACUGGUGUCCAUACUCCUGGGCAUCCUUGCCAUGCUGGGAAACGUCCUCAUCCUCUCUGUCUUCGUCAUCUACAUCUUGGGCCUGGUGGGGGUCCAGCUGUGGGUGGGAGACCUGCGCUACCAAUGCUUCCUGGGAGAGGACAUUGCAGCGCUGUAUUACAGGAGCCUGAGUCCGUACUAUGUGUCCUCGCCUGGCGAGAGAGCUUCUUUCAUCUGUUCUGUCGAGAAGACUGAUAGCGGCAAUGCUGGGACAUACCUCCUCUCUGUGAAGGGAGGAACACCUGUCUGCCGGCUGCUCCACAGCAGAAGUCCACAGGUCCCCUGGGGGCCAAUGUUAGCGGUGGUGUUAACUGGAAUGCGUACUACAAUGUGUGUCGUUCCAGGGGACAAAACCCGAACUUCGGCUCCAUCAAUUUUGGCAACAUCGGCUAUGCCUGGAUUACCGCUUUCCAGCUUGGCUCCUUCGUGAUGAUGAACACGUGUGCAGUCGUUAUUGCCGCCCACUACUCAAGAGGCCACGGCAGGCUAUGCCGGGGAGCCGCUCCCCGGUACUCUGAGCCUCAACGGACUCUGGACCACGCUGAGAAACUGGCUUGAGCAGCUCUACAGCAGGUCAGAUACUAGCAAAUAAAUUAAUUUAUAAAAGAACGAAUAUUUAAAAACUGCAAUCCAUAUCUUCAACUGCUAAAGGAGACACAACUCCAUAAACAAACAACAA
Molecule: RNA transcript, 1608 nt
Organism: Fundulus heteroclitus (mummichog)
Lineage: Eukaryota; Metazoa; Chordata; Actinopteri; Cyprinodontiformes; Fundulidae
Gene name: voltage-dependent T-type calcium channel subunit alpha-1H
Exons: 9
Source: RefSeq, a predicted model, not a curated record